This 978-nucleotide long non-coding RNA is filed under the name Schizosaccharomyces pombe (fission yeast). The record is from RNAcentral. Lineage: Eukaryota; Fungi; Ascomycota; Schizosaccharomycetes; Schizosaccharomycetales; Schizosaccharomycetaceae.
GCACUAUAAUGUCGUAAUAUGAGUUACAAAACGACUCUCCAGGGAGAAAAUGUACGGCUGAAAGGAGACUUUACUAUAAGAUGUAGGGAUAACUGGGGAAGAAAGUUUUGGACCAUGAUAAAAUGUUGUUUUUGAUACCUUCUUUUAUCCUAUUGAUAUAGUAAAACAUAAUUCUACCGUAGUCUAAUAAUUGACCCCGAUACUUCUCAAGGGUGCUUGUCUUGCCUGUGUAGUAGUCAAAACUUCAGUGUGCAUCGGUUAUUUGUACCGAGAUUCGUUUAAAUCAGCACGGUGUUAUAAUGAAAAAAUAAGGCAUGGUGUGUAUCAUGGAGAUUGGGAACAAGAUUAUUGUUCGGUGAAAUAGAGCGAUUUUUACUUCUCGGAUCGUAAGUUGCCGUAAGAAAUUGGAGGCUUAAUGGGUUAAGAUACAUGAAUACAGGUUUAAUAAUGCCUAAGCUGACAUUCAUUUUCUCGUCCAUCAAUUCAAUACAGAUUUGAGCUUAUUGUGGUUUGAAUAUAUAAUUAAGAGAAAGAAAACGAUCUAAAAGACAAUGGAAGUUGUCUCUGUGUGACAGAGUACUCGGAAUUUUUAAAAUAAACGAGAUGCUUGUUGAAGUUAAUCUGUAGUAUAAUAUGUUUAUUUAGUCAUAUAUACAAGUCUUCUACAUAACCUUACUUCACAUAACAAUAGGAAAAAGUUAGUACGAAUAUACAGGGAUAGCUUUUUUUAAUGCCUCUUCCUAUUGAGAUUCCAAUUACCAUACAUUGGUAUAUUCAAGACUUUAUAAAUUGAAUGCGAAAUUGCAGAAAUUUGCAAUUUUAGUCAUAUGUAUGUCACUUAAUGACAUUGUGGGUUACAUCGUGUGUUAAUUUCAAAAUCAAACAGGAAUAAAAUAUUUUUUUAAUGAAACUAUUUAAAUUGCAAUGGUUGAAAUAUAAGCUAGAUUUACAACGAACAGUAAUUUACCUGAUGGUUAG